This 301-nucleotide ribosomal RNA is filed under the name uncultured bacterium. RNAcentral's name for it is "partial 16S ribosomal RNA". It matches the Rfam family "Bacterial small subunit ribosomal RNA", at positions 509 to 807 of the family's 1533-position model. The record is from RNAcentral.
CAGCCGCCGCGGUAAUACGAAGGGUGCAAGCGUUACUCGGAAUUACUGGGCGUAAAGCGUGUGUAGGUGGUUGUUUAAGUCUGUCGUGAAAGCCCUGGGCUCAACCUGGGAAUUGCGAUGGAUACUGGGCGACUAGAGUGCGGUAGAGGAUAGUGGAAUUUCCGGUGUAGCAGUGAAUUGCGUAGAGAUCGGAAGGAACAUCUGUGGCGAAGGCGACUAUCUGGGCCAACACUGACACUGAGACACGAAAGCGUGGGGAGCAAACAGGAUUAGAUACCCGUUUAGUCCCUGUCUCUUAUAC